GACGAACGCUGGCGGCGUGCUUAACACAUGCAAGUCGUACGGUAAGGCCCUUUCGGGGGUACACGAGUGGCGCACGGGUGAGUAACACGUGAGUAACCUGCCCACAACUUUGGGAUAACGCUAGGAAACUGGUGCUAAUACUGGAUAUGUGCUCCUGCUGCAUGGUGGGGGUUGGAAAGCUCCGGCGGUUGUGGAUGGACUCGCGGCCUAUCAGCUUGUUGGUGGGGUAGUGGCCUACCAAGGCGGCGACGGGUAGCCGGCCUGAGAGGGUGACCGGCCACAUUGGGACUGAGAUACGGCACAGACUCCUACGGGAGGCAGCAGUGGGGAAUAUUGCACAAUGGGCGCAAGCCUGAUGCAGCAGCGCCGCGUGCGGGAUGACGGCCUUCGGGUUGUAAACCGCUUUCAGCAGGGACGAAGCUUUUUGUGACGGUACCUGCAGAAGAAGCACCGGCUAACUACGUG
This 465-nucleotide ribosomal RNA is filed under the name uncultured bacterium. RNAcentral's name for it is "partial 16S ribosomal RNA". It matches the Rfam family "Bacterial small subunit ribosomal RNA", at positions 28 to 507 of the family's 1533-position model. The record is from RNAcentral.